GCCGCCAUGGUGAAAUUGGUAGACACGCUGCUCUUAGGAAGCAGUGCUCAAGCAUCUCGGUUCGAAUCCGAGUGGCGGCA
Hordeum vulgare subsp. vulgare (domesticated barley) is the source of this 80-nucleotide non-coding RNA. Lineage: Eukaryota; Viridiplantae; Streptophyta; Magnoliopsida; Poales; Poaceae. The record is from Rfam.